Molecule: long non-coding RNA, 1142 nt
Filed under: Oryctolagus cuniculus (rabbit)
Lineage: Eukaryota; Metazoa; Chordata; Mammalia; Lagomorpha; Leporidae
Description: lncRNA (ENSOCUG00000034612.1)
Source: RNAcentral
UGUCCCAGCUCCUGGCCUUCCGGGCGCACCCCCGGCAGCAGCAGGGAUGCCCCAUGGGUUCCAACCGCUAGCCCCGGCCCCCGGCAGUCCCAAAGCAGCCCGGGAGGUUCGAGGGGGCGGGCCCCGGGAGGGGGCGGAUCCGGAGGGCCCGGCCCAGCGGGCGGGCCCGCUCCCCUCCCCCCCGAGCGGAGCCCCCCGCCGGGGCCGAAUCCCGCGCGCCGCGCUCCGGGGCUCCUCCGGCUGCGCUUGGCGCCGGAGCUCGGCCGCCGCCGCUGCUGUCCGACGUGUCACUGCGAGGGCCCCGCCCCCAGGGGCGGGGUCUCCGGCUCCGGCUACCGGAGAGGGCGGAGAGGGGGGAGGUUAAAGGGGAAGGACCCCCGGAAGUGCCCCCUCCUCAGCGUGCGAGAGGGAGACGCCGGGGGGCGGAGUCGCCCGCCUCCCCCCGCCGGUUGGUGCGUCCCGGGUGACGUCAGAGGCAGCCCUCCCCUGCCGGUGGUGCGCCCUGAGUGACGUCAGGAGCCGCGGCCGGAGCUGUCCAUCAGCACCAGAGGCCUCGGGCGGGCUCAGGGCAUGGGGCCGCGGCUCUGGGGCAGCCCGAGCCCUUGCUCCUGCUCCUCUCCCUUUCCCAGGCCCGGUCCAAGUGCCCGGACGCCGCGGGACUGGAGUGCCAGGCGGUGUUGGAGGUGGAGCGGCGACGGCGCCGCGCAGAGACCGGGCUCCGCGGCCCAGCAGCCCCCUGCCCCACACGACGGACUUUCCCAGGACCUCAGUCAGUGGGAGCCUCUGGCGCCCCGCGACCCCGGCCCCUCCGGCGCCCGCUCGGCCGCUUUGGCUCAGAAGCUCAGGUCGCCUCCAGCGCAGGUGGACCUGGGAGGGUGACCCCUCUGGCUUCCCAGCACUAUGCCGGGCACUGCGGCGACACUGCGAUUCCAGCUGCUCCCCCCCGAGCCAGACGAUGCCUUCUGGGGUGCGCCUUGUGAACAUCCCCUGGAGCGCAGGUACCAGGCGCUGCCGGCCCUCGUCUGCAUCAUGUGCUGUUUGUUUGGAGUCGUCUACUGCUUCUUCGGUUACCGCUGCUUCAAGGCGGUGCUCUUCCUCACUGGGUUGCUGUUCGCUCCGUCGCAUCUUCCUGCUGUGCUACC